This 102-nucleotide Y RNA is filed under the name Microcebus murinus (gray mouse lemur). RNAcentral describes it as "Y RNA (ENSMICG00000044931.1)". It matches the Rfam family "Y RNA". From Rfam's summary of the family: Y RNAs are components of the Ro ribonucleoprotein particle (Ro RNP), in association with Ro60 and La proteins. The Y RNAs and Ro60 and La proteins are well conserved, but the function of the Ro RNP is not known. The record is from Rfam by way of RNAcentral. Lineage: Eukaryota; Metazoa; Chordata; Mammalia; Primates; Cheirogaleidae.
GGUUGGUUGGAGUACAGUAGUGUUUACACAUAAUUAAUCACAACCAGUUACAGAUUCCUUUGUUCCUUCUCCACUCCUACUGCUUCACUUGACCGGCCUUUA